CUUGACGAGCGGCGGACGGGUGAGUAAUUGUAGGGGAUCUGCCUGAUGGAGGGGGAUAACUACUGGAAACGGUAGCUAAUACCGCAUAAUGUCUUCGGACCAAAGCGGGGGACCUUCGGGCCUCGCGCCAUCAGAUGAACCCAUAUGGGAUUAGCUUGUAGUGAGUAACGGCUCACCUAGCGACGAUCCCUACUGGUCUGAGAGGAUGAUCAGCCACACUGGGACUGAGACACGGCCCAGACUCCUACGGGAGGCAGCAGUGGGGAAUAUUGCACAAUGGGCGCAAGCCUGAUGCAGCCAUGCCGCGUGUAUGAAGAAGGCCUUCGGGUUGUAAAGUACUUUCAGUCGGGAGGAAGGUGGUAAGGUUAAUAACCUUAUCAAUUUGACGUUACCGACAGAAGAAGCACCGGCAAACUCCGUGCCACAGCCGCGGUAAUACGGAGGGGUGCAAGCGUUUAAUCGGAAUUACUGGGCGUAAAAGGCGCACCGUAAGCGGUUCCGUUAAAGUCCGGAUNGUUGAAAUCCCCUGGGGGCUCAAACCUGGGGUUGCUGGCAUUCCGAAUACUGGGCGGGACUUUGGAAAUUACGGUAAAGGGGGGG
This 600-nucleotide ribosomal RNA is filed under the name uncultured bacterium. Its description in RNAcentral is "bacterial SSU rRNA". It matches the Rfam family "Bacterial small subunit ribosomal RNA", at positions 87 to 666 of the family's 1533-position model. The record is from RNAcentral.